This 84-nucleotide transfer RNA is filed under the name Clostridiales bacterium. Its description in RNAcentral is "tRNA-Leu". It matches the Rfam family "tRNA". From Rfam's summary of the family: Transfer RNA (tRNA) molecules are approximately 80 nucleotides in length. Their secondary structure includes four short double-helical elements and three loops (D, anti-codon, and T loops). The record is from RNAcentral. Lineage: Bacteria; Bacillati; Bacillota; Clostridia; Eubacteriales.
GCGGGUAUGGCGGAAUUGGCAGACGCGCCAGACUUAGGAUCUGGUAUCUUUGAUAUGCAGGUUCAACUCCUGUUACCCGCACCA